UUCCCUGUCUCAAAGGAUGAGCACCAGCCUACGAAGCUGGAUGAUGGUGGUUCGAUUCCAUCCAGGGAAGCCA
Molecule: transfer RNA, 73 nt
Filed under: Parachitinimonas caeni
Lineage: Bacteria; Pseudomonadati; Pseudomonadota; Betaproteobacteria; Neisseriales; Chitinibacteraceae
Description: tRNA-Arg
Rfam family: tRNA
About the family: Transfer RNA (tRNA) molecules are approximately 80 nucleotides in length. Their secondary structure includes four short double-helical elements and three loops (D, anti-codon, and T loops).
Source: RNAcentral